AUUACCCACUCCCGGCACGGGGAGGUAGUGACGAAAAAUAACAAUACGGGACUCUUUUGAGACCCCGUAAUUGGAAUGAGUACACUCUAAAUCCUUUAACGAGGAUCUAUUGGAGGGCAAGUCUGGUGCCAGCAGCCGCGGUAAUUCCAGCUCCAAUAGCGUAUAUUAAAGUUGUUGCGGUUAAAAAGCUCGUAGUUGGAUCUCAGUUCCAGACGGGCGGUCCUCCUAACGGUGGUUACUGCCUGGCCUGAACAGCCAGCCGGUUUCCCUAGAUGAUCUUCACCGGUUGUCUUGGGUGACCGGCACGUUUACUUUGAAAAAAUUAGAGUGCUCAAAGCAGGCGUGUAGCCUGAAUAAUGGUGCAUGGAAUAAUGGAAUAGGACUUCGUUUCUAUUUUGUUGGUUUUCGGAACACGAGGUAAUGAUUAAGAGGGACAGACGGGGGCAUUCGUAUUGCGACGCUAGAGGUGAAAUUCUUGG
This 479-nucleotide ribosomal RNA is filed under the name Macrothelidae gen. 2 sp. 2 ZZY-2021a. RNAcentral's name for it is "SSU rRNA". It matches the Rfam family "Eukaryotic small subunit ribosomal RNA", at positions 440 to 923 of the family's 1831-position model. Lineage: Eukaryota; Metazoa; Arthropoda; Arachnida; Araneae; Macrothelidae. The record is from RNAcentral.